RNAcentral lists this ribosomal RNA (253 nucleotides) under uncultured bacterium. RNAcentral describes it as "partial 16S ribosomal RNA". It matches the Rfam family "Bacterial small subunit ribosomal RNA", at positions 524 to 776 of the family's 1533-position model. The record is from RNAcentral.
AACGUAGGAGGCGAGCGUUAUCCGGAUUUACUGGGCGUAAAGCGCACGCAGGUGGCUUCGUAAGUCGGACAUGAAAGCUCCUGGCUUAACUGGGAGAGGUUGUUCGAUACUGCGGGGCUUGAGGUUGGGAGAGGGACGUGGAAUUCCCGGUGUAGUGGUGGAAUGCGUAGAUAUCGGGAGGAACACCAGUGGCGCAAGCGGCGUCCUGGCCCACACCUGACGCUGAGGUGCGAAAGCGUGGGGAGCAAACAGG